Long non-coding RNA from Passer domesticus (house sparrow), 583 nucleotides. RefSeq lists it as uncharacterized. The transcript is spliced from 2 exons. NCBI's taxonomy places the organism in Eukaryota, Metazoa, Chordata, Aves, Passeriformes, Passeridae. The record is from RefSeq and is a predicted model, not a curated record.
CCCUGCGGCUCCAGAGCCCUGUCCGGCCGGCGCGGAAAGCGCUCAAGCCUCUCCAAGUACCCGGCACUGCUAUUAGGUCUCAUUGUACUGGAUGAAGGCCCUGCACGUGGUAAGAAAUGCUCCACUCCCUGGCAGAAUUGCAGUCUAAGUGAGGCAGAAGAGGGCGGGAGAAAGGAAAUAAGUAAGUAGCAACCCUAUUAAAAAGAUGAUGGACUGAGGCACUGAACAAUUACAUGACUGUACUGAGGUCAUACAGGAAGCCCAUGCCAGAACUGAGAAAUAAAACUGGAUCACCUGAGUGCGAGCGUUGAGCAGGAUUAUCUGUCCUCUUCAGACUUCACUGGUAUAUCAGUCGCACGACCUUUAUCACAUGUCAUGGUACCAGUUUUUCACAGCUCCAUGCACCACGUGUGUGCCCAUGAUAAUGCAGUUCAGGGGCGUAAUUAAAACCACAGUAUAAUUUUUCCUACACAUUUUGCUUAUGAAAAGUGUAUGAGCAAAACAGAAAGACACAGGAGCUCUGCUUAUUGUGGUUCCAUGGCUGGGCCCUCUGAAAUACAUACAAAAACUGAUCAAAAUUGAA